RNAcentral lists this ribosomal RNA (253 nucleotides) under uncultured bacterium. RNAcentral describes it as "partial 16S ribosomal RNA". It matches the Rfam family "Bacterial small subunit ribosomal RNA", at positions 524 to 776 of the family's 1533-position model. The record is from RNAcentral.
UACGUAGGGUGCAAGCGUUGUCCGGAAUUAUUGGGCGUAAAGAGCUCGUAGGCGGUCUGUCGCGUCGGCUGUGAAAACUCGGGGCUCAACCCCGAGCCUGCAGUCGAUACGGGCAGACUAGAGUGCUGUAGGGGAGACUGGAAUUCCGGUGUGAGCGGUGAAAUGCGCAGAUAUCAGGAGGAACACCGGUGGCGAAGGCGGGUCUCUAGUACGGUACUGACGCUGAGACGCGAAAGCGUGGGGAGCGAACAGG